UGCCAGACUCCUACGGGAGGCAGCAGUGAGGAAUAUUGGUCAAUGGGCUUACGCCUGAACCAGCCAAGUCGCGUGAGGGAAUAAGGCCCUACGGGUCGUAAACCUCUUUUGCCGGGGAGCAAGGGCGGGGACGUGUCCCGGCCCGGAGAGUACCCGGAGAAAAAGCAUCGGCUAACUCCGUGCCAGCAGCCGCGGUAAUACGGAGGAUGCGAGCGUUAUCCGGAUUUAUUGGGUUUAAAGGGUGCGUAGGCGGGCUGUUAAGUCAGCGGUCAAAUGUCGGGGCUCAACCCCGGCCUGCCGUUGAAACUGGCGGCCUCGAGUGGGCGAGAAGUAUGCGGAAUGCGUGGUGUAGCGGUGAAAUGCAUAGAUAUCACGCAGAACUCCGAUUGCGAAGGCAGCAUACCGGCGCCCGACUGACGCUGAGGCACGAAAGCGUGGGUAUCGAACAGGAUUAGAUACCCCCGUA
RNAcentral lists this ribosomal RNA (466 nucleotides) under uncultured bacterium. RNAcentral's name for it is "bacterial SSU rRNA". It matches the Rfam family "Bacterial small subunit ribosomal RNA", at positions 329 to 792 of the family's 1533-position model. The record is from RNAcentral.